This 260-nucleotide ribosomal RNA is filed under the name uncultured Bacillota bacterium. RNAcentral's name for it is "uncultured Firmicutes bacterium partial 16S ribosomal RNA". It matches the Rfam family "Bacterial small subunit ribosomal RNA", at positions 338 to 590 of the family's 1533-position model. The record is from RNAcentral. Lineage: Bacteria; Bacillati; Bacillota.
CCUACGGGAGGCAGCAGUAGGGAAUCUUCCACAAUGGACGAAAGUCUGAUGGAGCAACGCCGCGUGUGUGAUGAAGGGUUUCGGCUCGUAAAACACUGUUAUAAGAGAAGAACGUCAGUGAGGGUAACUAUUCAUUGAGUGACGGUAUCUUAUCAGAAAGGGACGGCUAAAUACGUGCCAGCAGCCGCGGUAAUACGUAUGUCCCAAGCGUUAUCCGGAUUUAUUGGGCGUAAAGCGAGCGCAGGCGGUUAUUUAAGUCU